This 434-nucleotide long non-coding RNA is filed under the name Pan troglodytes (chimpanzee). RNAcentral's name for it is "lincRNA". The record is from RNAcentral. Lineage: Eukaryota; Metazoa; Chordata; Mammalia; Primates; Hominidae.
ACUCCUUCCAAACGGCCAUCCCAGCAUGCUUCCAAGCAGGCUUCAUCCGUUCCUCUGGACCCUCAUCUCUUAAGACCUGCCGCCUAUAAAAAGGAUUAUAUCUUGAGACCCUAUCCUCUAAAAUUUUUUCCACACCCAAAACAAAAAAAUCUCUGGGUCAAAAGUCUAAAACGCUUAGGCUGGCAACCAUCAGAUCCUUGCCCAUGGUGUUCUCAAGCCUACUCUUAUGAAAUGGACAACAGUACAUGCAUACAGGGCCAGUUCCACAUAUUUGGCAACCAGACCAGCAUCCAGGACAACACAAAGAUCUGCAAUCAGAACUAUUGAACUUCUCCAUUCAGACCGCCACUCACACCUAUGGGAAAAGGGUGGCCUGCAGGAGCCAAGAAGUCUGGAGCAGCCAAAAAACCACAAAGAAGUGAAACAGCCAGUUC